GUCCUAGCCCUAAACGGUGCGUGUUUGCUGUAGGAGGAAUCGACCCCUUCUGUGGCGAAGCUAACGCGUUAAACACGCCGCCUGGGGAGUACGGUCGCAAGAUUAAAACUCAAAGAAAUUGACGGGGGCCUGCACAAGCGGUGGAGUAUGUGGCUUAAUUCGAUGCAACGCGAAGAACCUUACCUGGCCUUGACAUGCAUUUGGUAGAACCAUGAAAGUGGGACGACCCCGCAAGGGGAGGAUGCACAGGUGCUGCAUGGCUGUCGU
This 267-nucleotide ribosomal RNA is filed under the name uncultured bacterium. Its description in RNAcentral is "partial 16S ribosomal RNA". It matches the Rfam family "Bacterial small subunit ribosomal RNA", at positions 793 to 1055 of the family's 1533-position model. The record is from RNAcentral.